AGACAGCAGCAGCCGCGGUAAUACGAAGGGGGCUAGCGUUGCUCGGAAUUACUGGGCGUAAAGGGAGCGUAGGCGGAUGUUUAAGUCAGAGGUGAAAGCCCAGGGCUCAACCUUGGAACUGCCUUUGAUACUGGACAUCUUGAGUGUGGGAGAGGUAAGCGGAACUCCGAGUGUAGAGGUGAAAUUCGUAGAUAUUCGGAAGAACACCAGUGGCGAAGGCGGCUUACUGGCCCAUUACUGACGCUGAGGCUCGAAAGCGUGGGGAGCAAACAGGAUUAGAUACCCCCGUAGUCCCUGUCUCUUAUAA
This 307-nucleotide ribosomal RNA is filed under the name uncultured bacterium. RNAcentral describes it as "partial 16S ribosomal RNA". It matches the Rfam family "Bacterial small subunit ribosomal RNA", at positions 506 to 809 of the family's 1533-position model. The record is from RNAcentral.